RNAcentral lists this ribosomal RNA (415 nucleotides) under uncultured Alphaproteobacteria bacterium. RNAcentral describes it as "bacterial SSU rRNA". It matches the Rfam family "Bacterial small subunit ribosomal RNA", at positions 35 to 483 of the family's 1533-position model. Lineage: Bacteria; Pseudomonadati; Pseudomonadota; Alphaproteobacteria. The record is from RNAcentral.
GCUGGCGGCAGGCCUAACACAUGCAAGUCGAGCGAUGAAGCACCUUCGGGUGUGGAUUAGCGGCGGACGGGUGAGUAACGCGUGGGAACGUGCCCUGGGGUAAGGAACAACAGUUGGAAACGACUGCUAAUACCUUACUGAUUCUCUUCGGAGACAAAGAUUUAUCGCCCUGGGAUCGGCCCGCGUUGGAUUAGGUAGUUGGUGGGGUAAUGGCCUACCAAGCCUACGAUCCAUAGCUGGUUUGAGAGGAUGAUCAGCCACACUGGGACUGAGACACGGCCCAGACUCCUACGGGAGGCAGCAGUGGGGAAUCUUAGACAAUGGGGGAAACCCUGAUCUAGCCAUGCCGCGUGAGCGAUGAAGGCCUUAGGGUUGUAAAGCUCUUUCACCGGUGAAGAUAAUGACGGUAGCCGGA